CCGGACGGGGUAUGGGGGAUGACCCGUUUCACCCUCAUACCGGAUAGGGUGUUGAGGGAUGAUACUUUUGGUGCUCAUACCGAACGGGAUAUGAGGACGGCCGGGUAGUUGACAAUGUUGAAUAAUAGUUCACACAUAGUAGGGACAUCCCUAUGGACCCCCUAUGGAUACUAGUAAGCAUAUAAAAGAGAAAGUUGUUGUUCUGAAAAAUUGAAUAUG
RNAcentral lists this long non-coding RNA (219 nucleotides) under Carica papaya (papaya). RNAcentral's name for it is "long non-coding RNA (CPAP_LNC009533)". The record is from RNAcentral. Lineage: Eukaryota; Viridiplantae; Streptophyta; Magnoliopsida; Brassicales; Caricaceae.